GUAACAUCGUACUUUUUAGAGCUUCCAUCGUGAUAUAACAGCGGCAGCACUGUAAUAUUUAUUUUGUUAAAAAGUAAAUAGAAAUAUUAAAUAAUCAAACAACUAAAAUGUCGAAAGUAAUUCUAUUAUUAUUGUCAAUUUUCUUGAUAAUUGGCUUUCAUGCUAGUGCAGUUCAAGCAGGAUGCCCCGGCAGAUGGUGUCAUCCCUCGCAGGGUUAAACUUGUUGCAAAGGUUUUAGCUGCUCCGGAGACCUUCUUCAAGGCACCUGUUAUUCUAAUUCCCAAGUCUCGGGCCAUGGGCCAUAAGUAGUGAAAAGAAAUGAUGGUGAUAUAUAAUUCCAUACAGGCAGUACAAAAUUCUAUUAUUCCGGAGCCUAUUCUCUAAGAUACAAAUUUCAAUGCAAUAUAUUUUUGGAAGUCAAUCAAUUGUAACAGUCACAUCAAAAAGUCACUUUUUGUCUGUGUUUAUAUAUCUUAUCAUUUAUGUCAGUUUUUGGUUUGACACAAUCAAUAAAUAAAGACGCAAACCAA
Microplitis mediator is the source of this 530-nucleotide long non-coding RNA. RefSeq lists it as uncharacterized. NCBI's taxonomy places the organism in Eukaryota, Metazoa, Arthropoda, Insecta, Hymenoptera, Braconidae. The transcript has 3 exons. The record is from RefSeq and is a predicted model, not a curated record.